RNAcentral lists this ribosomal RNA (481 nucleotides) under uncultured organism. RNAcentral describes it as "partial 16S ribosomal RNA". It matches the Rfam family "Bacterial small subunit ribosomal RNA", at positions 329 to 801 of the family's 1533-position model. The record is from RNAcentral.
ACGUACACUCCUACGGGAGGCAGCAGUGGGGAAUAUUGCACAAUGGGCGCAAGCCUGAUGCAGCCAUGCCGCGUGUGUGAAGAAGGCCUUCGGGUUGUAAAGCACUUUCAGCGGGGAGGAAGGCAAUGCGGUUAAUAACCGUGUUGAUUGACGUUACCCGCAGAAGAAGCACCGGCUAACUCCGUGCCAGCAGCCGCGGUAAUACGGAGGGUGCAAGCGUUAAUCGGAAUUACUGGGCGUAAAGCGCACGCAGGCGGUCUGUCAAGUCGGAUGUGAAAUCCCCGGGCUCAACCUGGGAACUGCAUUCGAAACUGGCAGGCUUGAGUCUUGUAGAGGGGGGUAGAAUUCCAGGUGUAGCGGUGAAAUGCGUAGAGAUCUGGAGGAAUACCGGUGGCGAAGGCGGCCCCCUGGACAAAGACUGACGCUCAGGUGCGAAAGCGUGGGGAGCAAACAGGAUUAGAAACCCCAGUAGUCCCAUGAU